This 72-nucleotide transfer RNA is filed under the name Muntiacus reevesi (Reeves' muntjac). It matches the Rfam family "tRNA". Rfam says of the family: Transfer RNA (tRNA) molecules are approximately 80 nucleotides in length. The record is from Rfam by way of RNAcentral. Lineage: Eukaryota; Metazoa; Chordata; Mammalia; Artiodactyla; Cervidae. RNAcentral also lists the same sequence under 9 other names.
UCCCUGAUAGCUCAGUUGGUAAAGAAUCUGCUUGCAAUGCAGGAGACCCCGGUUUGAUUCCUGGGUUGGGAA